RNAcentral lists this ribosomal RNA (453 nucleotides) under Ditylum brightwellii. RNAcentral describes it as "partial Bacterial large subunit ribosomal RNA". It matches the Rfam family "Bacterial large subunit ribosomal RNA", at positions 507 to 959 of the family's 2925-position model. The record is from RNAcentral. Lineage: Eukaryota; Bacillariophyta; Thalassiosirophyceae; Lithodesmiales; Lithodesmiaceae.
GGGAAAGGUGAAAAGAACGCCGAGAAGGCGAGUGAAAUAGUACCUGAAACCGUGUGCCUACAAUCCGUUGGAGCCUCCCUAGCAGGGGUGACAGCGUGCCUUUUGAAGAAUGAGCCUGCGAGUUAGUGAUGCGUGGCGAGGUUAACCCGUGGUGGGGGAGUCGUAGCGAAAGCGAGUCCGAUAAGGGCGUGAGUCGCGUGUUCUAGACCCGAAGCGGUGUGAUCUAUCCAUGGCCAGGAUGAAGGUGCGGUAACACGCACUGGAGGUCCGAACCGAUUAACGUUGAAAAGUUACCGGAUGAGUUGUGUUUAGGGGUGAAAGGCCAAUCAAGCCGGGAAAUAGCUGGUUCUCCGCGAAAACUAUUGAGGUAGUGCCUCGAGCGGACACCAUGGGGGGUAGAGCACUGGAUGGUUGCGGGCUGCGCGAGCGGUACCAAUACUAACCAAACUCCGA